This 548-nucleotide ribosomal RNA is filed under the name uncultured bacterium. RNAcentral's name for it is "bacterial SSU rRNA". It matches the Rfam family "Bacterial small subunit ribosomal RNA", at positions 28 to 553 of the family's 1533-position model. The record is from RNAcentral.
AAUGAACGCUGGCGGCGUGCUUAACACAUGCAAGUCGAGCGAGAAAGUUUCCUUCGGGAAGCGAGUAAAGCGGCGAACGGGUGAGUAACACGUGGACAACCUGUCCUGGAGUGAGGAAUAACUUGGGGAAACUCGAGCUAAUACCGCAUACGCUCGUACGGCGUCGGCCGUACGAGGAAAGUUGGCCUAUUCAUGAAAGCUGACGCUCCUGGGGGGGUCCGCGCCUGAUUAGCUAGUUGGUGGGGUAAUGGCCUACCAAGGCGACGAUCAGUAGCCGGCCUGAGAGGGUGAUCGGCCACACUGGGACUGAGACACGGCCCAGACUCCUACGGGAGGCAGCAGUGGGGAAUAUUGGACGAUGGGGGCAACCCUGAUCCAGCAACGCCGCGUGGGGGAUGAAGGCCUUCGGGUCGUAAACUCCUGUCAGUGGGGACGAAAAGCCCCUGGUAAAUAGCCAGGGGUCAUGACGGUACCCGCAGAGGAAGCCCCGGCUAACUCCGUGCCAGCAGCCGCGGUAAUACUGGGGGGGCAAGCGUUAUUCGGAAUUA